This 664-nucleotide ribosomal RNA is filed under the name uncultured Candidatus Poseidoniales archaeon. RNAcentral's name for it is "bacterial SSU rRNA". It matches the Rfam family "Archaeal small subunit ribosomal RNA", at positions 1 to 672 of the family's 1478-position model. The record is from RNAcentral. Lineage: Archaea; Methanobacteriati; Thermoplasmatota; Candidatus Poseidoniia; Candidatus Poseidoniales.
UUCUGGUUGAUCCUGCCGGAGGCUACCGCUAUUGGAGUUCGAUUAAGCCAUGCGAGUCGAGAGUCUUAGGGACUCGGCGCACCGCUCAGUAACACGUGGGUAACCUGCCCUAUGCUGGGGAAUAACCUCGGGAAACUGAGAAUAAUGCCCCAUAGCCCACUACGCCUGGAACGGUGAGUGGGUGAAAGCUCCGGCGGCAUAGGAUGGGCCUGCGCCGUAUCAGGUUGUAGGGGGUGUAAAGUACCCUCUAGCCAUCAACGCGUACGGGUGUUGGGAGACAUUGCCCGGAGAUGGAUUCUGAGACACGAAUCCAGACCCUACGGGGUGCAGCAGGCGCGAAAACUUGGCAAUGCGAGCAAUCGUGACCAGGGAACUCCAAGUGCUUAGGGUAAGACCUAAGCUUUUCUUGACUCUUCAAAGGUCUUGGAAUAAGGGGUGGGUAAGGACGGUGCCAGCCGCCGCGGUAAUACCGGCGCCUCAAGUGGUAGUCGCUUUUAUUGGGCCUAAACGUCCGUAGCCGGUCUGGUGCAUUCGUGGGUAAAUCAACCCGCUCAACGGGUUGAAUUCUGCGAGCACGGCCAGACUUGGGACCGGGAGAGGUGUGGGGUACUCUCAGGGUAGGGGUAAAAUCCUGUCAUCCUGAGAGGACCACCUGUUGCGAAGG